UACGUAGGGUGCAAGCGUUAAUCGGAAUUACUGGGCGUAAAGCGUGCGCAGGCGGUUAUGUAAGACAGAUGUGAAAUCCCAGGGCUCAACCUUGGAACUGCAUUUGUGACUGCAUAGCUAGAGUACGGUAGAGGGGGAUGGAAUUCCGCGUGUAGCAGUGAAAUGCGUAGAUAUGCGGAGGAACACCGAUGGCGAAGGCAAUCCCCUGGACCUGUACUGACGCUCAUGCACGAAAGCGUGGGGAGCAAACAGG
Molecule: ribosomal RNA, 253 nt
Filed under: uncultured bacterium
Lineage: Bacteria
Description: partial 16S ribosomal RNA
Rfam family: Bacterial small subunit ribosomal RNA
Source: RNAcentral